UUUCUACUCCCUCCGUCUGAAAAUACUUGUCAAAAAAAUGGAUAAAAAGAGAUGGAUCUAAAACUAAAAUACGUCUAGAUACAUUUCUUUUUAUCCAUUUUGAUGACAAGUAUUUCCGGACGGAGGGAGUAUUUG
Triticum urartu is the source of this 135-nucleotide non-coding RNA. Lineage: Eukaryota; Viridiplantae; Streptophyta; Magnoliopsida; Poales; Poaceae. The record is from Rfam.